This 88-nucleotide small nucleolar RNA is filed under the name Capsella rubella. RNAcentral's name for it is "Small nucleolar RNA R21". It matches the Rfam family "Small nucleolar RNA R21". Rfam says of the family: snoR21 is a member of the C/D class of snoRNA which contain the C (UGAUGA) and D (CUGA) box motifs. Most of the members of the box C/D family function in directing site-specific 2'-O-methylation of substrate RNAs. Lineage: Eukaryota; Viridiplantae; Streptophyta; Magnoliopsida; Brassicales; Brassicaceae. The record is from Rfam by way of RNAcentral.
AAUCCCAAUGAUGAAUUAUAUGAAGAAAAAAAAAAUGUUAAAAGUAGUGCCUGAUUACACCUUGAUUACUAAUCAAUUCUGAGGGAUU